Molecule: ribosomal RNA, 253 nt
Filed under: uncultured bacterium
Lineage: Bacteria
Description: partial 16S ribosomal RNA
Rfam family: Bacterial small subunit ribosomal RNA
Source: RNAcentral
UACGUAGGGGGCAAGCGUUGUCCGGAUUUAUUGGGCGUAAAGAGCGUGUAGGCGGCCUGAAAGGUCAGCUGUGAAAACUCGAGGCUCAACCUCGAGACGUCGGUUGAAACCAUCUGGCUAGAGUCCGGAAGAGGAGUGUGGAAUUCCCGGUGUAGCGGUGAAAUGCGCAGAUAUCGGGAAGAACACCCGUGGCGAAGGCGGGUCUCUGGGCCGAUACUGACACUGAGAAGCGAAAGCGUGGGGAGCGAACAGG